RNAcentral lists this transfer RNA (90 nucleotides) under bacterium. RNAcentral's name for it is "tRNA-Ser". It matches the Rfam family "tRNA". From Rfam's summary of the family: Transfer RNA (tRNA) molecules are approximately 80 nucleotides in length. Their secondary structure includes four short double-helical elements and three loops (D, anti-codon, and T loops). The record is from RNAcentral. RNAcentral also lists the same sequence under 1 other name.
GGAGAGGUGGCCGAGUCGGCUGAAGGCACUCGCCUGCUAAGCGAGUGUAGGGGUAAAACCUUACCGUGGGUUCGAAUCCCACCCUCUCCG